UGGCGGUUUAGCUCAGCGGUAGAGCACUGGAAUCAUAAUCCAUUGGUCCGGGGUUCAAAUCCCUGAACCGCUAUUAC
Molecule: transfer RNA, 77 nt
Filed under: Fibrobacter succinogenes subsp. succinogenes S85
Lineage: Bacteria; Pseudomonadati; Fibrobacterota; Fibrobacteria; Fibrobacterales; Fibrobacteraceae
Description: tRNA-Met
Rfam family: tRNA
About the family: Transfer RNA (tRNA) molecules are approximately 80 nucleotides in length. Their secondary structure includes four short double-helical elements and three loops (D, anti-codon, and T loops).
Source: RNAcentral